AUGUGAAACCCAACCAGGAUUAAGAUGCAUUCUAUUUAAAAUGUGCACAUUCCUCUCUUUUUUGCUUUGUUUUGUGUUAGUAAGUUGCAGAAAACAGUUUUUCCUCAAAAGCAUAUUGGCCUUCAAAGAGAUACGUGGUCUCACACGAUCUGAGGCUUCAGGUAAGUUAUCUACCCCACUUGCUCAAGUUCUGGCCUAGUGCAAGCUUUAUCUAUCUCAUGUUAGAAUGGAGGGGAGAAAUGAUAGAAUCCACAGUAGGCAGGAAGAGAUAUGUCCCAAAACAUCACUUUAAUUACAUACAUAUAUAAACUUUAACAUAAACACUUCACAUAAAACUCUCUCUCCUUUGCACUCUUAAUCAUACUCUCUCUCCUGUGGUUAGAAGAUAUCCAAAUCAGCUCUCCCUAGUUCUGGAAUUUCUUGGAGCUGCCAGACAUCUGCCACAAGGAUUGGAUUCUUGUAUUCAUUAAAUCCUAUGUCAACUCCUCUCCAUGAGUAGUAACUGACUCCAUAACCCUCUCCAUGAAUAAC
This 531-nucleotide long non-coding RNA is filed under the name Marmota monax (woodchuck). Lineage: Eukaryota; Metazoa; Chordata; Mammalia; Rodentia; Sciuridae. The record is from RNAcentral.